UGGGAACGUGCCCAAAGGUACGGAACAACUCCGGGAAACUGGAGCUAAUACCGUAUGUGCCCGAAAGGGGAAAGAUUCAUCGCCUUUGGAUCGGCCCGCGUCUGAUUAGCUAGUUGGUGGGGUAACGGCCCACCAAGGCGACGAUCCGUAGCUGGUCUGAGAGGAUGAUCAGCCACACUGGGACUGAGACACGGCCCAGACUCCUACGGGAGGCAG
RNAcentral lists this ribosomal RNA (216 nucleotides) under uncultured bacterium. RNAcentral's name for it is "partial 16S ribosomal RNA". It matches the Rfam family "Bacterial small subunit ribosomal RNA", at positions 118 to 351 of the family's 1533-position model. The record is from RNAcentral.